GUGAAUCAUCAAAUUUUUGAACGCAAAUUGCACUCUCUUCGGAUAGUAUGCCUGUUUGAGGGUCAUUCUAAAAAAAAUCGAGAUAGUCGAUGUUUCUCUGUGACAUUCGUCUGAAAUGUAGGAAUCUUAAACCUUUGGGUUUUAAGUGUCUUAAAAUGUUCUUUACGAUUCUACUAAUGUUUCUAAGAUUUAUUUAUUACAAGUUUAAGUUAAUCGAUCUUUAUUAGACGUGG
Molecule: unclassified non-coding RNA, 233 nt
Filed under: Glomeromycota sp.
Lineage: Eukaryota; Fungi; Glomeromycota
Description: partial contains 5.8S ribosomal RNA and internal transcribed spacer 2
Rfam family: 5.8S ribosomal RNA (bases 1-65)
Source: RNAcentral